RNAcentral lists this ribosomal RNA (253 nucleotides) under uncultured bacterium. Its description in RNAcentral is "partial 16S ribosomal RNA". It matches the Rfam family "Bacterial small subunit ribosomal RNA", at positions 524 to 776 of the family's 1533-position model. The record is from RNAcentral.
UACGUAGGGUGCGAGCGUCAAUCGGAAUUACUGGGCGUAAAGCGUGCGCAGGCGGUUUUGUAAGCCAGAUGUGAAAUCCCCGGGCUCAACCUGGGAAUGGCAUUUGGGACUGCAAGGCUUGAGUGCGGCAGAGGAGACUGGAAUUCCUGGUGUAGCAGUGAAAUGCGUAGAUAUCAGGAGGAAUACCGAUGGCGAAGGCAGGUCUCUGGGCUGACACUGACGCUCAUGCACGAAAGCGUGGGGAGCAAACAGG